UCGGUUUCGUUAUUACAGGCAUGUAAGCAAUUUCAGUUAAUUGUAUCCCAUUAGCAGUUAAUUGAGUAGCGUGGCUGGAGAACAACGCGUGGCUGGAGGAACAAUUGAAAAAUGGAUAAGAUAAUAAAACAAAAAAAUGAUCAAAUUAUGAAGCUGCAGGCCCAGUUAUUGGAACAACACAAAAUAUUAGAUAACAACAAAGCUAAGGAUGCUCAAAUUUUUGAGUCUACAAGCUCAGCUAGGGGAAAAGAACAAAUUGGAACAAAACAGUUUCCAAACAGUGAAGGAGGUUUUUCAAAACUCAUCCCUAACUGAACGUGAGGAUGAGUUGGCAUUAGGUGAACACAGUCAGUUAUUCAGUCCACCACCUGACAGUGUGUUAAAUUUAAAUUCUGUUAGUGCUGCACUAAAAGAAUUGUUAGUAAUAAGUCCAUGCAGCGAAGGAACUGAAGAAUUGUGGGACUGUAUUUGGGCGGAAAAUGGGUGUGGUAUGGAAACACAGAAAUGGCACGAGUUCAACAUGAA
Long non-coding RNA from Daphnia carinata, 525 nucleotides. RefSeq lists it as uncharacterized. NCBI's taxonomy places the organism in Eukaryota, Metazoa, Arthropoda, Branchiopoda, Diplostraca, Daphniidae. The record is from RefSeq and is a predicted model, not a curated record. The transcript has 4 exons.